Molecule: ribosomal RNA, 628 nt
Filed under: Corynebacterium sp.
Lineage: Bacteria; Bacillati; Actinomycetota; Actinomycetes; Mycobacteriales; Corynebacteriaceae
Description: bacterial SSU rRNA
Rfam family: Bacterial small subunit ribosomal RNA
Source: RNAcentral
GUACUCGAGUGGCGAACGGGUGAGUAACACGUGGGUGAUCUGCCCUGCACUUUGGGAUAAGCCUGGGAAACUGGGUCUAAUACCAGAUAGGACCACGUCUUGGAUGGUGUGGUGGAAAGUUUUUUCGGUGUGGGAUGAGCUCGCGGCCUAUCAGCUUGUUGGUGGGGUAAUGGCCUACCAAGGCGUCGACGGGUAGCCGGCCUGAGAGGGUGUACGGCCACAUUGGGACUGAGAUACGGCCCAGACUCCUACGGGAGGCAGCAGUGGGGAAUAUUGCACAAUGGGCGCAAGCCUGAUGCAGCGACGCCGCGUGGGGGAUGACGGCCUUCGGGUUGUAAACUCCUUUCGCCAGGGACGAAGCGUCAGUGACGGUACCUGGAUAAGAAGCACCGGCUAACUACGUGCCAGCAGCCGCGGUAAUACGUAGGGUGCGAGCGUUGUCCGGAAUUACUGGGCGUAAAGAGCUCGUAGGUGGUUUGUCGCGUCGUUUGUGUAAUACCGCAGCUUAACUGCGGGGUUGCAGGCGAUACGGGCAUAACUUGAGUGCUGUAGGGGAGACUGGAAUUCCUGGUGUAGCGGUGGAAUGCGCAGAUAUCAGGAGGAACACCGAUGGCGAAGGCAGGUCUCU